RNAcentral lists this ribosomal RNA (484 nucleotides) under uncultured bacterium. Its description in RNAcentral is "partial 16S ribosomal RNA". It matches the Rfam family "Bacterial small subunit ribosomal RNA", at positions 30 to 507 of the family's 1533-position model. The record is from RNAcentral.
AUUGAACGCUGGCGGCAGGCCUAACACAUGCAAGUCGAGCGGAUGAAGGGAGCUUGCUCCUGGAUUCAGCGGCGGACGGGUGAGUAAUGCCUAGGAAUCUGCCUGGUCGUGGGGGAUAACGUCCGUAAACGGGCGCUAAUACCGCAUACGUCCUGAGGGUGAACGUGGGGGAUCUUCGGACCUCACGCUAUCAGAUGAGCCUAGGUCGGAUUAGCUAGUUGGUGGGGUAAAGGCCUACCAAGGCGACGAUCCGUAACUGGUCUGAGAGGCUGAUCAGUCACACUGGAACUGAGACACGGUCCAGACUCCUACGGGAGGCAGCAGUGGGGAAUAUUGGACAAUGGGCGAAAGCCUGAUCCAGCCAUGCCGCGUGUGUGAAGAAGGUCUUCGGAUUGUAAAGCACUGUAAGUUGGGAGGAAGGGCAGUAAGUUAAUACCUUGCUGUUUUGACGGUACCAACAGAAUAAGCACCGGCUAACUUCGUG